Molecule: non-coding RNA, 24 nt
Filed under: Arabidopsis thaliana (thale cress)
Lineage: Eukaryota; Viridiplantae; Streptophyta; Magnoliopsida; Brassicales; Brassicaceae
Source: RNAcentral
CGGCAUUGACCAGUGAUGACCGGC